Molecule: ribosomal RNA, 468 nt
Filed under: uncultured bacterium
Lineage: Bacteria
Description: partial 16S ribosomal RNA
Rfam family: Bacterial small subunit ribosomal RNA
Source: RNAcentral
GACGAACGCUGGCGGCGUGCUUAACACAUGCAAGUCGAACGGAAGGGCCCUGCUUUUGUGGGGUGCUCGAGUGGCGAACGGGUGAGUAACACGUGAGUAACCUGCCCUUGACUUUGGGAUAACUUCAGGAAACUGGGGCUAAUACCGGAUAGGAGCUCCUGCUGCAUGGUGGGGGUUGGAAAGUUUCGGCGGUUGGGGAUGGACUCGCGGCUUAUCAGCUUGUUGGUGGGGUAGUGGCUUACCAAGGCUUUGACGGGUAGCCGGCCUGAGAGGGUGACCGGGCAAAAUGGGAAUGGAGUAAGGGCCAAACUCCAUACGGAAGGAAGAAGGGGGGAUGUUGGAACAAGGGGGGGAGCCUGAUGCAGCAACGCCGCGUGCGGGAUGACGGCCUUCGGGUUGUAAACCGCUUUCGCCUGUGACGAAGCGUGAGUGACGGUAAUGGGUAAAGAAGCACCGGCUAACUACGUG